Molecule: ribosomal RNA, 243 nt
Filed under: uncultured bacterium
Lineage: Bacteria
Description: partial 16S ribosomal RNA
Rfam family: Bacterial small subunit ribosomal RNA
Source: RNAcentral
GCAAGUCGAGCGCGAAAGUUCUUCGGGACGAGUAGAGCGGCGAACGGGUGAGUAACGCGUAGGAAUCUACCCAGUAGUGGGGGACAACAGUCGGAAACGGCUGCUAAUACCGCAUACGCCCCAAGGGGGAAAGCGGGGGAUCUUCGGACCUCGCGCUAUUGGAUGAGCCUGCGUCGGAUUAGCUUGUUGGUGAGGUAAAAGCUCACCAAGGCGACGAUCCGUAGCUGGUCUGAGAGGAUGAUC